AGAGUUUGAUCCUGGCUCAGGAUGAACGCUAGCGACAGGCUUAACACAUGCAAGUCGAGGGGCAGCGGGGGAGUAGCAAUACUCCCGCCGGCGACCGGCGCACGGGUGAGUAACACGUAUGAAACCUGCCCGUAGCAGGGGGAUAAGCGGAAGAAAUUCCGUCUAAUACCGCGUAACAACCCUUGGAGGCAUCUCCUCGGGUUUAAAGGAAGCGAUUCCGGCUACGGAUGGUCAUGCGUCGCAUUAGCUAGUUGGCGGGGUAACGGCCCACCAAGGCGACGAUGCGUAGGGGUUCUGAGAGGAAGGUCCCCCACACUGGUACUGAGACACGGACCAGACUCCUACGGGAGGCAGCAGUGAGGAAUAUUGGUCAAUGGCCGCAGGGCUGAACCAGCCAAGUCGCGUGAGGGAUGACGGUCCUAUGGAUUGUAAACCUCUUUUGUCAGGGAGCAAAGGGCGUCACGUGUGGCGUUUUGCGAGUACCUGAAGAAAAAGCAUCGGCUAACUCCGUGCCAGCAGCCGCGGUAAUACGGAGGAUGCGAGCGUUAUCCGGAUUUAUUGGGUUUAAAGGGUGCGCAGGCGGAAUGUCAAGUCAGCGGUAAAAUUUCGGGGCUCAACCCCGUCGUGCCGUUGAAACUGGCGUUCUUGAGUGAGCGAGAAGUAUGCGGAAUGCGUGGUGUAGCGGUGAAAUGCAUAGAUAUCACGCAGAACUCCGAUUGCGAAGGCAGCAUACCGGCGCUCAACUGACGCUCAUGCACGAAAGCGUGGGUAUCGAACAGGAUUAGAUACCCUGGUAGUCCACGCAGUAAACGAUGAAUACUAACUGUCCGGGCAGAAUGAUGUCUGGGUGGUACAGCGAAAGCGUUAAGUAUUCCACCUGGGGAGUACGCCGGCAACGGUGAAACUCAAAGGAAUUGACGGGGGCCCGCACAAGCGGAGGAACAUGUGGUUUAAUUCGAUGAUACGCGAGGAACCUUACCCGGGCUCAAACGACGGAUGGAUGUUUCUGAAAGGAGGCAGUCCUACGGGACAUCCGUCGAGGUGCUGCAUGGUUGUCGUCAGCUCGUGCCGUGAGGUGUCGGCUUAAGUGCCAUAACGAGCGCAACCCCCAUCGCCAGUUACCAGCAAGUAAAGUUGGGGACUCUGGCGAGACUGCCGGCGCAAGCUGUGAGGAAGGCGGGGAUGACGUCAAAUCAGCACGGCCCUUACGUCCGGGGCGACACACGUGUUACAAUGGCAGGUACAGAGAGAUGCGAUGCGGCGACGCAGAGCGGAACUUCAAAGCCUGUCUCAGUUCGGAUUGGAGUCUGCAACCCGACUCCAUGAAGCUGGAUUCGCUAGUAAUCGCGCAUCAGCCACGGCGCGGUGAAUACGUUCCCGGGCCUUGCACACACAGCCCGUCA
This 1403-nucleotide ribosomal RNA is filed under the name uncultured bacterium. Its description in RNAcentral is "16S ribosomal RNA". It matches the Rfam family "Bacterial small subunit ribosomal RNA". The record is from RNAcentral.